UGGGGAAUUUUGGACAAUGGGGGAAACCCUGAUCCAGCCAUCCCGCGUGUGCGUUGAAGGCCUUCGGGUUGUAAAGCACUUUUGGCAGGAAAGAAACGUCAUGGGUUAAUACCCCGUGAAACUGACGGUACCUGCAGAAUAAGCACGGGCUAACUACGUGCCAGCAGCCGCGGUAAUACGUAGGGUGCAAGCGUUAAUCGGAAUUACUGGGCGUAAAGCGUGCGCAGGCGGUUCGGAAAGAAAGAUGUGAAAUCCCAGAGCUCAACUUUGGAACUGCAUUUUUAACUACCGGGCUAGAGUGUGUCAGAGGGAGGUGGAAUUCCGCGUGUAGCAGUGAAAUGCGUAGAUAUGCGGAGGAACACCGAUGGCGAAGGCAGCCUCCUGGGAUAACACUGACGCUCAUGCACGAAAGCGUGGGGAGCAAACAGG
RNAcentral lists this ribosomal RNA (429 nucleotides) under Acidobacteriota bacterium. RNAcentral describes it as "Acidobacteria bacterium partial 16S ribosomal RNA". It matches the Rfam family "Bacterial small subunit ribosomal RNA", at positions 355 to 776 of the family's 1533-position model. The record is from RNAcentral. Lineage: Bacteria; Pseudomonadati; Acidobacteriota.